Molecule: ribosomal RNA, 253 nt
Filed under: uncultured bacterium
Lineage: Bacteria
Description: partial 16S ribosomal RNA
Rfam family: Bacterial small subunit ribosomal RNA
Source: RNAcentral
UACGAGGGGGGCGAGCGUUGUUCGGAAUUAUUGGGCGUAAAGGGUGCGUAGGCGGUUUGGUAAGUCUCUUGUGAAAUCUAUGGGCUCAACUCAUAGUCUGCAAGGGAAACUGCCGGGCUUGAGUGUGGGAGAGGUGAGUGGAAUUUCCGGUGUAGCGGUGAAAUGCGUAGAUAUCGGAAGGAACACCUGUGGCGAAAGCGGCUCACUGGACCACAACUGACGCUGAUGCACGAAAGCGUGGGGAGCAAACAGG